This 407-nucleotide transfer-messenger RNA is filed under the name Patescibacteria group. RNAcentral describes it as "f UBA10105 X1 Standard tmRNA". It matches the Rfam family "transfer-messenger RNA". Rfam says of the family: Bacterial tmRNA, also known as 10Sa RNA or SsrA, is named for its dual tRNA and mRNA-like properties. Its role is to liberate the mRNA from a stalled ribosome. The record is from RNAcentral.
GGGGAUGUAACGAAUCGCCGAUUUAGCUCUUUAAAAACCGCAAGCCGAGAAUGACCAACCUCGUUAAACGCGUCAAAAAAACAAAUGCUAAAAAUUCAUUUAGCGAUUUAGAGGAAGCAUUCGCUAACCGCGAAUAUUUCUCUAGAGCCAAUUUUGCUUACGCACUCAAUGCAUAAGCAUUAAAGGCCAUUUUGUAAGUCUUUUUCCGAUGGGAUUUACAAGGUGCCAACACAGUCGGAAUGCAAUUUAAAAUAGUUCGACGUUCUAUUUUAAGUCAAGCUUAAUACGUCUAGCUUUAACUUUCCCGCCAAUUGGAACAGGUUAAAGUAAAAAAAUAAGUUGGCUAUGCUUGUAGAAGUUUUUGGAAAGUUUAUUUCGCACGAGGGUCACUCCCUCCAUCUCCACCA